UUGGUUAAGUUAGAAAGGGCGCACGGUGGAUGCCUUGGCACUAGGAGCCGAAGAAGGACGGGACUAACACCGAUAUGCUUUGGGGAGCUGUACGUAAGCGUUGAUCCAGAGAUUUCCGAAUGGGGGAACCCACUAUCUUUAGUCGGAUAGUAUCCUUACGUGAAUACAUAGCGUGAGGAAGGCAGACCCAGGGAACUGAAACAUCUAAGUACCUGGAGGAAGAGAAAGAAAAAUCGAUUUCCUGAGUAGCGGCGAGCGAAACGGAAAGAGCCCAAACCAAGAAGCUUGCUUCUUGGGGUUGUAGGACACUCUAUACGGAGUUACAAAAGAAAGUUAUAAAUGAAGCGGUCUGGAAAGGCCCGCCAAAGACGGUAACAGCCCGGUAGUUGAAAUGGCUUUCCCUCCAGAGUGGAUCCUGAGUACGGCGGAACACGUGAAAUUCCGUCGGAAUCCGGGAGGACCAUCUCCCAAGGCUAAAUACUCCCUAGUGACCGAUAGUGAACCAGUACCGUGAGGGAAAGGUGAAAAGCACCCCGGAAGGGGAGUGAAACAGUUCCUGAAACCGUGUGCCUACAAGUAGUUAGAGCCCGUUAAUGGGUGAUAGCGUGCCUUUUGUAGAAUGAACCGGCGAGUUACGAUUUGUUGCAAGGUUAAGCGGAAAAAGCGGAGCCGUAGCGAAAGCGAGUCUGAAUAGGGCGCAUAAGUAACAGGUCGUAGACCCGAAACCAGGUGAUCUACCCAUGUCCAGGAUGAAGGUAAGGUAAUACUUACUGGAGGUCCGAACCCACGCACGUUGAAAAGUGCGGGGAUGAGGUGUGGGUAGCGGAGAAAUUCCAAUCGAACUUGGAGAUAGCUGGUUCUCUCCGAAAUAGCUUUAGGGCUAGCCUCGAGGUAAAGAGUCAUGGAGGUAGAGCACUGUUUGGACUAGGGGCCCUUCUCGGGUUACCGAAUUCAGAUAAACUCCGAAUGCCAUGUACUUAUACUCGGGAGUCAGACUGCGAGUGAUAAGAUCCGUAGUCGAAAGGGAAACAGCCCAGACCACCAGUUAAGGUCCCCAAAUAUAUGUUAAGUGGAAAAGGAUGUGGGGUUGCUUAGACAACCAGGAUGUUGGCUUAGAAGCAGCCACCAUUGAAAGAGUGCGUAAUAGCUCACUGGUCGAGUGACCCCGCGCCGAAAAUGUACCGGGGCUAAACAUAUUACCGAAACUGUGGAUGAACCUCUUUAGAGGUUCGUGGUAGGAGAGCGUUCUAAGGGCGGUGAAGUCAGACCGGAAGGACUGGUGGAGCGCUUAGAAGUGAGAAUGCCGGUAUGAGUAGCGAAAGAAGGGUGAGAAUCCCUUCCACCGAAUAUCUAAGGUUUCCUGAGGAAGGCUCGUCCGCUCAGGGUUAGUCGGGACCUAAGCCGAGGCCGAUAGGCGUAGGCGAUGGACAACAGGUAGAGAUUCCUGUACCAGUGCUAAUUGUUUAACCGAUGGGGUGACACAGAAGGAUAGGGAAUCGCACGAAUGGAAAUGUGCGUCCAAGCAGUGAGUGUGAGAAGUAGGCAAAUCCGCUUCUCGCGAAGCAUGAGCUGUGAUGGGGAAGGAAAUUAAGUACGGAAGUUCCUGAUUUCACGCUGUCAAGAAAAGCCUCUAGGAAGAGUAGUACUGCCCGUACCGCAAACCGACACAGGUAGAUGAGGAGAGAAUCCUAAGGUGAGCGAGAGAACUCUCGUUAAGGAACUCGGCAAAAUGACCCCGUAACUUCGGGAGAAGGGGUGCUCUAUUAGGGUGCAAGCCCGAGAGAGCCGCAGUGAAUAGGCCCAGGCGACUGUUUAGCAAAAACACAGGUCUCUGCAAAACCGUAAGGUGACGUAUAGGGGCUGACGCCUGCCCGGUGCUGGAAGGUUAAGAGGAGUGCUUAGCUUCGGCGAAGGUACGAAUUGAAGCCCCAGUAAACGGCGGCCGUAACUAUAACGGUCCUAAGGUAGCGAAAUUCCUUGUCGGGUAAGUUCCGACCCGCACGAAAGGCGCAACGAUCUGGGCACUGUCUCAACGAGAGACUCGGUGAAAUUAUAGUACCUGUGAAGAUGCAGGUUACCCGCGACAGGACGGAAAGACCCCGUGGAGCUUUACUGCAACCUGAUAUGGAAUGUUUGUACCGCUUGUACAGGAUAGGUAGGAGCCGAAGAGACGUGUGCGCUAGCAUACGAGGAGGCAAUGGUGGGAUACUACCCUGGCUGUAUGACCAUUCUAACCCGCCACGCUUAGCGCGUGGGGAGACAGUGUCAGGUGGGCAGUUUGACUGGGGCGGUCGCCUCCUAAAGAGUAACGGAGGCGCCCAAAGGUUCCCUCAGAAUGGAUGGA
This 2344-nucleotide ribosomal RNA is filed under the name Listeria monocytogenes. Its description in RNAcentral is "partial 23S ribosomal RNA". It matches the Rfam family "Bacterial large subunit ribosomal RNA", at positions 1 to 2335 of the family's 2925-position model. The record is from RNAcentral. Lineage: Bacteria; Bacillati; Bacillota; Bacilli; Caryophanales; Listeriaceae.